RNAcentral lists this ribosomal RNA (451 nucleotides) under uncultured bacterium. RNAcentral's name for it is "bacterial SSU rRNA". It matches the Rfam family "Bacterial small subunit ribosomal RNA", at positions 354 to 796 of the family's 1533-position model. The record is from RNAcentral.
GUGGGGAAUCUUGCGCAAUGGGGGAAACCCUGACGCAGCAACGCCGCGUGGGUGAUGAAGGCCUUCGGGUCGUAAAGCCCUGUCAGGUGGGAAGAAUCAUAUCGAUUCGAACAGGGUCGAUAUCUGACGGUACCACCGGAGGAAGCACCGGCUAACUCCGUGCCAGCAGCCGCGGUAAUACGGAGGGUGCAAGCGUUGUUCGGAAUUACUGGGCGUAAAGCGCGUGUAGGCGGUCGAGCAAGUCAGAUGUGAAAGCCUUCCGCUUAACGGAAGAAGUGCAUUUGAAACUACUCGGCUGGAGUACGGGAGAGGAGAGUGGAAUUCCCGGUGUAGAGGUGAAAUUCGUAGAUAUCGGGAGGAACACCAGUGGCGAAAGCGGCUCUCUGGUCCGAUACUGACGCUGAUACGCGAAAGCGUGGGGAGCAAACAGGAUUAGAAACCCGAGUAGUCC